Molecule: long non-coding RNA, 4067 nt
Organism: Olea europaea var. sylvestris
Lineage: Eukaryota; Viridiplantae; Streptophyta; Magnoliopsida; Lamiales; Oleaceae
Exons: 2
Source: RefSeq, a predicted model, not a curated record
GGAAGGAAUAUAUUUUGAAGAAACUUUUGCAUCGAUAGCUAGAUUAGAAUCCAUUCUAUGCUUUUUGCAUUUGCUUGCUACAAAGGUUUUACAUUAUACCAAAUGGAUGUCAAAAGUGCAUUUUUAAAUGGAUAAAUUCAAGAAGAGGUCUUUGUUGAACAACCUUCUGGUUUCAAAGAUCACAAAUAUCUAAAUCAUGUUUUCAAACUUAGAAAAGCACUUUAUGGGCUAAAACAACCUAGGGCUUGGUAUGAACGUUUGAGUAAAUUUUUAAUUUCAAAUGGUUUUUCUGUUGGAAAGGCCGAUAUCACACUUUUUUGUAAAAAAAUAGAAGAAUGACAUGCUUAUCGUUCAAAUUUAUGUGGAUGAUAUUAUAUUUGGUGCCACUAACAUAUGUUUUUGUGAAGAAUUCUCUAAAAGUAUGAGCAAGGAAUUUGAAAUGAGCAUGAUGGGAGAAUUAAAAUUCUUCUUCGGUUUGCAAAUUAAACAAACUCGUAAUGAAAUCUUCAUAAAUCAAAGCAAGUAUUUGCUAGAGAUGCUCAAAAAAUUCUACAUGGAUGGGCUAAAACCAAUGAACACUCCCAUGAGUUCAACAAUUAAGCUCGACAAAGAUGACCAUGUUACUCAUAUUGAUGUGACUAAAUAGCCAGGUAUGAUCGGAUCUCUUCUUUAUUUAACCACUAGUAAACCCGAUAUGAUGUUUAGUGUUUGUCUAUAUGCUAGAUUUCAAUCUAAUCCUAAAGAAUCGCACCUCAAAGCCGUUAAAGGAAUUCUUAGAUAUCUUAAUGGAACUAAAAUGUUAGGUCUUUGGUAUCCAAAAGGAACUCACAUUAACUUACUUAGCUAUUCGGAUGCCGAUUGGGCUAGUUGCACUAUUGAUCGCAAGAGUACUGGUGGAACAUGUCACUUCUUAGGCUUCGCACUAGUCUCAUGGUUUAGCAAGAAAUAAAAUUCUGUUACUUUAUCUACAUCCGAAGCCGAAUAUAUUUCCGCUGCUAGUUGUUGUGCACAAGUAUUAUGGAUGAAUGUACCUAUUAUGUGUGAUAACACUAGUGCCAUAAAUUUGUCUAAAAAUCUUAUAUUGCACUCACGAACAAAACACGUUGAGAUUAGACAUCAUUUUCUUAGAUAUCAUGCUCAAAAAGAUGGCAUUGGUUUAGAAUUUGUCAAUACAAAAAAUCAAUUGGCCGAUAUCUUCACUAAACCUCUUUCUCUCGACCAUUUCACACACAUUCGUAGAGGUUUAGGAAUUGUUGAUGAAAUUGAAAUAAAAAAUUGAUGUGGUGACUAUUUUGCUCUUUUUAUUUUUUAAAAAAAAAAAGUUUUUUUGACGAGUUUAUCGGACGUGUCCGAUACAUAAAGGACAACUAUAACGGACCGUCCUCUAAGUCAUCUGGUUCAACAGAAACUUUUUUUCCUAUAUCGAAUGAUCCGGCACAUUAUACCGGACGUCCGAUAAACUGAAUCUCACAUUUUAAAAUUGCAAAAAAUAUCAUUUUCUUCCCACUUUUUUUCUUCCUUUCUUCAUCUCCUUCACAUUCUUCACUACCCUCCACUCCAAAUUCCUCAUUCCACUCUUCUAAUUUUUCAAUUUUUACGCAACCCACUUCCUUCACUCUUGUUUCCAAAUCAGAAUUUUGAAAAAGGGCAAAAUUUCUCUCCUUUCCCCAAUCUCAUGCCCUAACUCUCGUUUUUAUUUUUUGCUUCAAUUCAAACAAUGUUGAGAACAAAGCAAGUUGGAGAAGGGGCAAAAACUACGGAACAUCAGCCUACAACGCCCUCCUCCGACGAAGAAACGGAUUUCGAACCUUAAGAGGCGGUGAACCCAUUUGAAAAAUCUCUCAUUCUACUAGGUAAAAAUGUUGAUUUUUCAGCUUUUUCUAUUGAAGCGAAUUCUUUGAAAAAAUGGGGUGGAUUUCGGUACAUUCGUUGGAAGAAAAUGCUUACCCUCAACUCUUGAAAACCUUUUACACAAAAAUGGCUAUUACACCACGUUCCGAUAGUAUCUCCCGUCUUAUUAAAAAUGUAAGGACCACUGUUACUAAAGCUCUUAUUGGGGAAAUUCUUAGGCUUGAACCAUGUGAUACGCAAGUUUUUGUUCAUAAAGCUCACCCGAUCUUAGAAGGUUAUAACCCUAGUGACGCAUGUCGUCGUUUGAUGGGGAAAGAUUUUGAAAACAUCACAAAAAUUAGUGCUAAUCAACUCACUCUACCUUACAAAGUAUUGCAAAAUAUCAUGGCAAAUAUUAUUUUACCUAGAAAAGGGCAUCGAUAUGAGGUUAAUUACUUUGAUUUGUUCAUUCUCGAUUCAUUUCUCAUUGGCCGAAGGUUAGAUUUCCCAACAAUUACUUUAGGUCUUAUGAAACUUAUCCACACUUCUCGUUAUUCCAAAGCUUUGUCCUAUGGUAUGCUUUUAACAAAAAAUUUCAAACACUUCAAUGUCUCUCUUGAGGGUGAAGCCGUCAUCAAACCUCGUCCCACCAAUACAAUAAAUAUUCAAACCCUUAAGCGCAUGAAAAUAUUUAAAACUCAAGGACAAUGUGUGGUUUACACUAAAGGGUUCAACCCCGCCUCGGGUCCUUCCACAUUACCGUUUGAGGACGAAGAAGAUGCCGAAGAAGACGUACCGUUACUCUUGCAUCCACCGUCGAUUAGUACCUCUUCAUCUUCUUCCUGAGGAUUCACUUUUAUUGAGGAUCAGUAUAAUUUACUCACCGGGCGUCUUGACUCUCUCAUGACUUCAAUUGAUGGGCUUAGAGGUGUUCUUCAGAAUGUCCAGUCAUAGUAGGCCGCGAUCUAGGCUCGACAGGAUGCCAUUCUUGCACUACAGGCUGAAAUGCAUGCUCAGUAGAAUGCGUUCUAUGCUCACUUUUACACACAUUUUCCUCCACCACCACCUCCGUUGUCUUAGCUUUUAGUUUUAUCAUUUAUCUUAUGCAUUUUUUUUGUACUCCCGAACUCAUUAUGACUCUAUCUUUUAUGGACUCAUUAUGAUAUUAUGAACUUAUGUCUCUUCUCUUAUUUGUCAAUUUUUUGAUUAUGCCAAAAGGGGGAAAAUUAUACAUAAAUAAUAUGCAUGAUUUAUUAUAUGAGAUGAUAUGCAUGUUUAUAUGAGAUACAUAUGAGACGGUAUGUAUGAUAGGAAUGCUUAAGUAAGGGGGAAUACACGUGCAAAAGAUAGGGAGAAUUAUUUCGUUACUUAUCAUUUUUUUACUUAUUAAAUCUCCAUCAUCUCCUGUUUGUCACUUUCAAAAAGGGGGAAAUUGUUGACCUACGGUUGACUUCUUAUUUUGAUUAUAAGAAAACAAAUUUUAUUUAACGAUUGUAUUUGAGUGAUUAUAGAAGUUUAUGACAAGCAUGGACAAAAUGAUGCUUUCGAAGCUCUCGCAAAAUUGGACAAAGUAGAAACCAAGCUACAUAUCAAGACAACGAGCACUUCAUCAAGUCAAACAAAGAAGAUAUUAGAUUUAGAGACCUUGAUUUCAAAUGUUAAGGAUGAGAUGAUUGUCAAAGAGUAUGAAUAUCUUGUAGAGAGGGCAAAUGAGCAACAACUUCCUGAAGAUACCCCUUUGGAAGAGAUACCUGUAGAUGAUCCUGAUGCUGGAAUUAAUAUCAUGAUGUCCGUUCUAGAUACGAAGCCCGAGCGUCAAAUUCUUGGGUUAAGAGAUGGCCGCCUUCAAGACAUUGGGACAUCUUUUUCUAACAUAUGCAGUUUGGAGAAGGAGUUGGAAGCAGAACGUGCUGCUCGUAAGGUAGCCAAUGCGGCUCGAGUAAACAUGGAACAAAAUAUGCAAAACAAGCUAAAGGUUGUCGAGCAACAAUUCAAUUCUACAUAACAAUCUUGGCAUCAUUCUAUACAACAGUUAUGUGGUAAAGUUCCUAGCUUCAUUGUACCACCAUUUAUACCAUUGUCAAUAGAGAAUAAUGCUAAUGAGAAAGAUUAUGCUAUUGAGGAUGAAGAGAAUAAUUUUGGUGAGAAUUAGUGCAAGUCUAAUUAACGAGACUGAAGAGUCAUUUUUUUAUUUGCAUAAAAAUAGAUAUAUAGUAUGCUUGCUCUGCUUAUUUUAA